CAAGCAAAGAUUGCUCUAGCUUGUUCCCAUACAGGCCACUCAGAUUACAUAAAUGUAUGACUCACAGUAGUGCAGGAUUUACAGGUCCAAGUGUCAUGGGACAGUGUCAUGUGAGGAGUCACACUAGGACAGUAUACCUGCCAAACAAAAAUGCAGUCUCUGAGUGUGAGUCCAGGGAAGAUGGAAAUCUUCCAUGGAACAGAAGGGAAAAAACUCUCCUGGUCUUGAUUUUCAGAUUUUUUGUAAAAGAGUGGCUUUAUGAUACUUCUGACUUUUUGUUUAGUGAGCAGGAAGUGUCAUAAAACUUACCACAGGGGUGACACCAGGGGCAAGUGUCUAUAAUGACAAAAAAAAUAACAAUUUAAAGUUUAAAAUUUCUUUUUCAUUUUUGUGUCUGCUCUUGUGUUCAGUGUAAGGCAGAAUUCAAUGAGCCCUGGUUUGUUCCACUGCUAACAAUGAAUAUGACCUGGCUUUUGGCUUUUGUAAGUAAGGUUAGUU
RNAcentral lists this non-coding RNA (498 nucleotides) under Tyto alba (common barn owl). Its description in RNAcentral is "Eukaryotic large subunit ribosomal RNA". It matches the Rfam family "Eukaryotic large subunit ribosomal RNA", at positions 2540 to 2988 of the family's 3401-position model. The record is from Rfam by way of RNAcentral. Lineage: Eukaryota; Metazoa; Chordata; Aves; Strigiformes; Tytonidae.